This is a non-coding RNA of Parelaphostrongylus tenuis, 71 nucleotides long. Lineage: Eukaryota; Metazoa; Nematoda; Chromadorea; Rhabditida; Metastrongylidae. The record is from the annotation of a GenBank genome assembly.
GCCCCGGUAGUGCAGUGGUAGCAGACGCCCCUCAUAUGGGUGAAGUGCGGGUUCAACUCCCGCUUGAGGUC